RNAcentral lists this ribosomal RNA (460 nucleotides) under uncultured bacterium. RNAcentral describes it as "partial 16S ribosomal RNA". It matches the Rfam family "Bacterial small subunit ribosomal RNA", at positions 338 to 795 of the family's 1533-position model. The record is from RNAcentral.
UCUACGGGCGGCAGCAGUGAGGAAUAUUGGUCAAUGGACGAGAGCCUGAACCAGCCAAGUAGCGUGAAGGAUGACUGCCCUACGGGUUGUAAACUUCUUUUAUAAAGGAAUAAAAUGAGGCACGUGUGCCUUUUUGCAUGUACUUUAUGAAUAAGGAUCGGCUAACUCCGUGCCAGCAGCCGCGGUAAUACGGAGGAUCCGAGCGUUAUCCGGAUUUAUUGGGUUUAAAGGGAGCGUAGAUGGGUUGUUAAGUCAGUUGUGAAAGUUUGCGGCUCAACCGUAAAAUUGCAAUUGAUACUGGCAGUCUUGAGUACAGUUGAGGUAGGCGGAAUUCGUGGUGUAGCGGUGAAAUGCUUAGAUAUCACGAAGAACCCCGAUUGCGAAGGCAGCUUACUAAACUGUGACUGACAUUGAUGCUCGAAAGUGUGGGUAUCAAACAGGAUUAGAUACCCGAGUAGUC